RNAcentral lists this long non-coding RNA (988 nucleotides) under Homo sapiens (human). RNAcentral describes it as "HSALNT0295080". Lineage: Eukaryota; Metazoa; Chordata; Mammalia; Primates; Hominidae. The record is from RNAcentral.
UGAAGAAGGGUGCACGGGCUUCCAGCUGGCCGCCAAAUGGGACUUCCACAGGACACAGAUUAAAUACUCGCUUCAUUGCGGGAGACGAGGGGCGGGGACAGGAGAGAAAGAAGGGACAGGCAUAAGUCACUUCUCCCGCCGGCUCCGACAGCUGGUUGCUCCGCUGAGGGGCGUUGGGUGAGGCGGAAGAGCAGACGGGGAUCCAGAAGGCGUUGUCGGUGACAUCACGGAGAGGGCGAUUUCUAUGUAGAUGAGGCAGCGCAGGGGCUGCUGCUUCGCCACCUGCUGCUUCGCCACGAAAGAGUUCCCGUGCCGUGGGAGUAAGUCUGGGACCUCUGGUCGGACCGGAGAGUCGCAGCUGUGUGUUAGGGCUAGGAUGGCUCCUGGAUGCGCGUGACGCAAGUGACCUUGCGUGUAAAGGGGCCCGCCUGGCAGGACGACUGAGCAAGUUCUUGGAAAACCAGAGAUAUUAGAGCGGUGAAUCGCGCUGGUCACGUUGGACACCUGCGCGUUAGGAGAUUCUGGAGCCAGAGGGAGAGACCCCAGAAACGCCCCGGUCGGCGACCCAGCCCGAGACGCCUGGGGUCCCAAGGGAAGCUGAACGCCCGGUGGGCUCCCGGGAUGGUUCUUCCGGUUCUUUGUGCCGCCUUCACCCAGUGAAGGAGCCUGUAUCCACCCUGCCCAGUCGCUGUUGGGCUGCUGCGGAGCUUCCGCUGCCAUCUUCGGAUCCUGUGUUCCGCCCGGGGCUCCACCAGGGCAGGGAUGGUGCAGAAUGGGGAAAUGGAGAGAGAACCUGAAAGAGCCCCAAACUCGAGGACCUAUUGCUCCCCAAGAAUAACAUCUUCCAGAACUAGACAGAAAACUAGGCGUCUGGGAACCCUGAAAUCCUUGGAGGAGUAGAUCAUCAUGACCCUCUGUGUUCCUUUUGGCAAAUGACUUGCUUCCAUUGUUUGUUUGUUCAAUUGUCUGUUUGUUAAAUAAAUAAAAC